Molecule: non-coding RNA, 29 nt
Filed under: Rattus norvegicus (Norway rat)
Lineage: Eukaryota; Metazoa; Chordata; Mammalia; Rodentia; Muridae
Source: RNAcentral
UAGAAUUAAUGAGUUUGGAAAUAGUUCUU